This 120-nucleotide ribosomal RNA is filed under the name uncultured bacterium. Its description in RNAcentral is "partial 16S ribosomal RNA". It matches the Rfam family "Bacterial small subunit ribosomal RNA", at positions 28 to 156 of the family's 1533-position model. The record is from RNAcentral.
GACGAACGCUGGCGGCGUGCUUAACACAUGCAAGUCACGGGGGGGUAGCAAUACUCAACCGGCGAACGGGUGCGUAACACGUGACCAACCUGCCCUCGUGUGGGGGAUAGCCGGGCUAAC